UACAUGCAAGUAGAACGCAGAGGAUUGGUGCUUGCACUAAUCUAAUGAGUUGCGAACGGGUGAGUAACGCGUAGGUAACCUGCCUGGUAGCGGGGGAUAACUAUUGGAAACGAUAGCUAAUACCGCAUAAUAGUUUAUGACUCAUGUUAUAAACUUGAAAGAUACAACUGUAUCACUACCAGAUGGACCUGCGUUGUAUUAGCUAGUAGGUAGGGUAACGGCCUACCUAGGCGACGAUACAUAGCCGACCUGAGAGGGUGAUCGGCCACACUGGGACUGAGACACGGCCCAGACUCCUACGGGAGGCAGCAGUAGGGAAUCUUCGGCAAUGGGGGGAACCCUGACCGAGCAACGCCGCGUGAGUGAAGAAGGUUUUCGGAUCGUAAAGCUCUGUUGUUAAGGAAGAACGGGAGUAGGAGUGGAAAGCCUACUUUGUGACGGUACUUAACCAGAAAGGGACGGCUAACUACGUGCCAGCAGCCGCGGUAAUACGUAGGUCCCGAGCGUUAUCCGGAUUUAUUGGGCGUAAAGCGAGCGCAGGCGGUUAGAUAAGUCUGGAGUACAAGGCUAUGGCUCAACCAUAGUGUGCUCUGGAAACUGUUUAACUUGAGUGCA
Molecule: ribosomal RNA, 615 nt
Filed under: uncultured Bacilli bacterium
Lineage: Bacteria; Bacillati; Bacillota; Bacilli
Description: bacterial SSU rRNA
Rfam family: Bacterial small subunit ribosomal RNA
Source: RNAcentral